GGUCUCCGUGGUGAACCAGCGGAGGGAUCCAUUA
This 34-nucleotide ribosomal RNA is filed under the name Colletotrichum boninense. Its description in RNAcentral is "partial 18S ribosomal RNA". Lineage: Eukaryota; Fungi; Ascomycota; Sordariomycetes; Glomerellales; Glomerellaceae. The record is from RNAcentral.